Molecule: ribosomal RNA, 495 nt
Filed under: uncultured bacterium
Lineage: Bacteria
Description: partial 16S ribosomal RNA
Rfam family: Bacterial small subunit ribosomal RNA
Source: RNAcentral
GAUGAACGCUGGCGGCGUGCCUAAUACAUGCAAGUAGAACGCUGAAGGAGGAGCUUGCUCUUCUGGAUGAGUUGCGAACGGGUGAGUAACGCGUAGGUAACCUGCCUGGUAGCGGGGGAUAACUAUUGGAAACGAUAGCUAAUACCGCAUGACAACAGUUAUUGCAUGAUAACUGUUUAAAAGGGGCAACUGCUCCACUACCAGAUGGACCUGCGUUGUAUUAGCUAGUUGGUGAGGUAACGGCUCACCAAGGCGACGAUACAUAGCCGACCUGAGAGGGUGAUCGGCCACACUGGGACUGAGACACGGCCCAGACUCCUACGGGAGGCAGCAGUAGGGAAUCUUCGGCAAUGGACGGAAGUCUGACCGAGCAACGCCGCGUGAGUGAAGAAGGUUUUCGGAUCGUAAAGCUCUGUUGUAAGAGAAGAGCGAGUGUGAGAGUGGAAAGUUCACACUGUGACGGUAUCUUACCAGAAAGGGACGGCUAACUACGUG